This 1387-nucleotide long non-coding RNA is filed under the name Anas platyrhynchos platyrhynchos (common mallard). Its description in RNAcentral is "lncRNA (ENSAPLG00000023600.1)". Lineage: Eukaryota; Metazoa; Chordata; Aves; Anseriformes; Anatidae. The record is from RNAcentral.
GGGACCCCAAAUGUCACCCCAAAUGGCACCCCAACUGGCACCCUGACUGGCACCCUGACUGGCACCCUGACUGUGACCCCAACUGUCACCCCAAUUGUCACCCCAAACAUCACCCCAAUUGUCACCCCAAAUGUCACCUGGACUGGCACUUCAAACGUCACCCCGAUUGUCACCCCAAUUGUCACCCCAACUGGCACCCCGACUGGCACCCCAAAUGUCACCUCAAUUGUCACCCCAAUUGUCACCCCAACUGGCACCCUGAUUGUCACCCUGACUGUGACCCCAACUGUCACCCCAAAUGUCACCUGGACUGGCACUUCAAACGUCACCCCAAUUGUCACCCCAAUUGUCACCCCAAAUGUCACCCCAACUCUCAACUGGACUGGUACCCCAAUUGUCACCCCGGCACCCCAAUUGUCACCCCAAUUCCUGCCCUAACUGGCACCCCAAACGUCACCCCAAUUGUCAUCCUGCCUGGCACCCCAACUCUCUCCCCAGCUGGCACCCCAAUUGUCACCUCAAAUGUCACCUGGACUGGCACCCCAAACAUCACCCCAAUUGUCACCCCAAUUGUCAUCCUAACUGGCACCCUGAUUGUCACCCCAAUUGGCACCCCAAUUGUCACCCCAACUCUCACCCCAAUUGUCCUCCUGUCACCCCAACUGUCACCCCACCUGGCACCCACCAGGUGGGCCUGGCACCCCAAAUGUCACCCUGCCAUCCCAACUGUCACCCCCAAUUGUCACCCCAACUCCCAUCCUGUCCCCCCAGUUGCCACCCUGUCACCCCAACUGCCACCGUCACCAAGCGUCACCCCAACUGCCACCCUGAUUGUCACCCUGCACCCCCAGUUGUCACCGUGUCACCCCAAGUGUCACCCCAAGUGUCCCCCUGUCCCCCCAGUUGUCGCCCCGUCACCCUAACUGCCACCCCAACUGUCACCCCAUCACCCCAACUCCCAUCUGGUCCCCCCAGUUGUCACCCCAAGCGUCACCCCGACUGUCACCCUAUGCCCCCAGUUGUCACCCCGUCACCCCAACUGUCCCCCUGUCCCCCCAGCUGUCACCCUAACUGCCCCCCCAACUGCCCCCCCAACUCCCAUCCCGUCCCCCCCCCUUGUCACCCCGACUGUCCCCCCUACUCCCACCCUCUCCCCCCAAGUUGUCCCCGGGGGGGCUGCGCACCCCACUCUCGGGUUGUGUCCCCCCCCCCCCCAGGCUCCCCAAAAACUCACCGGGAAGAGGGGGGAGGGCUGUAGGGUGGGGGGGGGCAGCGCGUCCCCCUUCCCGAUGCCCACGGCCUCCACGUUGAAGGUCAGCUGCCCGCGACCCCGGCCCCGGCCUCGGCCCGCCAUGGGGGGGUUGGGGGGGGGGGCACGGAGCCCGGG